AUUGAACGCUGGCGGCAGGCCUAACACAUGCAAGUCGAGCGGAUGAAGGGAGCUUGCUCCUGGAUUCAGCGGCGGACGGGUGAGUAAUGCCUAGGAAUCUGCCUGGUAGUGGGGGAUAACGUCCGGAAACGGGCGCUAAUACCGCAUACGUCCUGAGGGAGAAAGUGGGGGAUCUUCGGACCUCACGCUAUCAGAUGAGCCUAGGUCGGAUUAGCUAGUUGGUGGGGUAAAGGCCUACCAAGGCGACGAUCCGUAACUGGUCUGAGAGGAUGAUCAGCCACACUGGAACUGAGACACGGUCCAGACUCCUACGGGAGGCAGCAGUGGGGAAUAUUGGACAAUGGGCGAAAGCCUGACCCAGCCAUGCCGCGUGAGUGAAGAAGGUCUUCGGAUCGUAAAACUCUUUAAUUGGGGAAGAAGAAAUGUAUGUGAAUCUCUGCCUGUUUUGACGUUACCAAAAAAAAAAGCCCCGGCUAACUUCGUG
RNAcentral lists this ribosomal RNA (484 nucleotides) under uncultured bacterium. RNAcentral's name for it is "partial 16S ribosomal RNA". It matches the Rfam family "Bacterial small subunit ribosomal RNA", at positions 30 to 507 of the family's 1533-position model. The record is from RNAcentral.